RNAcentral lists this ribosomal RNA (300 nucleotides) under Triticum aestivum (bread wheat). Its description in RNAcentral is "partial small subunit ribosomal RNA". The record is from RNAcentral. Lineage: Eukaryota; Viridiplantae; Streptophyta; Magnoliopsida; Poales; Poaceae.
AUGAUUUCAAGAGAUUUUUCCUUCAAAAAUUGGAAAUGCUCUUGUACUGAAGAUAACGUUCUGACAAAGAAGCGGGUAUCACUUAUUGAUCACCAGGUGAUGAAUAUAUUGGUGGGGAUGCAAGUAAUGGACCAUAUUUUUCACCAUUCCUCUAUGGCUAUGGUACUUCAACACCUAUGUAAGAAGAUGAUGAACAGCCAAAUACUUCUAGUUCCUAUUGUAAAUAAAGCAAAAGAUGUUUUGUGGCAAAGAUGCAGACCGCAAGACCAAACUAAGCCUUCCAUGAGUCUCAUUUUUUGA